RNAcentral lists this long non-coding RNA (531 nucleotides) under Nicotiana tabacum (common tobacco). RNAcentral describes it as "long non-coding RNA (NTAB_LNC018339)". Lineage: Eukaryota; Viridiplantae; Streptophyta; Magnoliopsida; Solanales; Solanaceae. The record is from RNAcentral.
GGUUUCAAGGAUGAAAGGUUGGAACGUGGGCAUUCAUUUCCUGGAGAUGGUAAUGGUAAUUUUUCUGUUGGCAGGUAGAAUUGGAACAUGAAAAUUAAGGAUGAUACCUUUGCUGCUCAAGCAGCGGCUGAGUUUGCAGAACAUGCAAGCCUAGCUGCCAGAGUUGUUGUAGAACUUACAAGGCAAAAUUGUGUUGAUGAUGGUGGAUCAUGCCACUUAGGUUUCAAGGAUGAAAGGUUGGAACAUGGGCAUUCAUUUGCUGGAGAUGGUAAUGGUAAUUGUUCUGUUGGCUAGUAGAAUUGGAACAUGAAAUUUAAGGAUGCUACCUCUGCUGCUCAAGCAGUGACUGAGUUUGCAGAACAUGCAAGCCUAGCUGCCAGAGCUGUUGUAGAACUUUCAAGGCAAUAUUGUGUUAAUGAUGGUGGUUCAUGCCACUUAGGUUUCAAGGAAGAAAGGUUGGAACAUGGGCAAUCAUUUCCUGGAGAUGGUAAUGGUAAUUGUUCUAUUGGCAAGCAGAAUUGGAACAUGAAA